This 76-nucleotide small RNA is filed under the name Xanthomonas phaseoli pv. phaseoli. RNAcentral describes it as "sX9 sRNA". It matches the Rfam family "Xanthomonas sRNA sX9". Lineage: Bacteria; Pseudomonadati; Pseudomonadota; Gammaproteobacteria; Lysobacterales; Lysobacteraceae. RNAcentral also lists the same sequence under 2 other names. The record is from RNAcentral.
AUGUACCACGCGUACACGCCGGUUCCUGUGCGCCGUCCACGCCCACCUGACGACCGCUCGCUACGUUUUGUCAGCC